RNAcentral lists this ribosomal RNA (606 nucleotides) under uncultured Actinomycetales bacterium. RNAcentral describes it as "bacterial SSU rRNA". It matches the Rfam family "Bacterial small subunit ribosomal RNA", at positions 27 to 647 of the family's 1533-position model. The record is from RNAcentral. Lineage: Bacteria; Bacillati; Actinomycetota; Actinomycetes; Actinomycetales.
GGACGAACGCUGGCGGCGUGCUUAACACAUGCAAGUCGAACGGAAAGGCCCUGCUUGCAGGUACUCGAGUGGCGAACGGGUGAGUAACACGUGGGUGAUCUGCCCUGCACUUCGGGAUAAGCUUGGGAAACUGGGUCUAAUACCGGAUAGGAACCAUCUUUAGUGUGGUGGUUGGAAAGUUUUUUCGGUGUAGGAUGAGCUCGCGGCCUAUCAGCUUGUUGGUGGGGUAAUGGCCUACCAAGGCGGCGACGGGUAGCCGGCCUGAGAGGGUGUACGGCCACAUUGGGACUGAGAUACGGCCCAGACUCCUACGGGAGGCAGCAGUGGGGAAUAUUGCACAAUGGGCGCAAGCCUGAUGCAGCGACGCCGCGUGGGGGAUGAAGGCCUUCGGGUUGUAAACUCCUUUCGCUAGGGACGAAGCUUUUUGUGACGGUACCUAGAUAAGAAGCACCGGCUAACUACGUGCCAGCAGCCGCGGUAAUACGUAGGGUGCGAGCGUUGUCCGGAAUUACUGGGCGUAAAGGGCUCGUAGGUGGUUUGUCGCGUCGUCUGUGAAAUUCUGGGGCUUAACUCCGGGCGUGCAGGCGAUACGGGCAUAACUUGAGU